Molecule: transfer RNA, 77 nt
Filed under: Pseudidiomarina indica
Lineage: Bacteria; Pseudomonadati; Pseudomonadota; Gammaproteobacteria; Alteromonadales; Idiomarinaceae
Description: Idiomarina indica tRNA_Arg_CCG
Rfam family: tRNA
About the family: Transfer RNA (tRNA) molecules are approximately 80 nucleotides in length. Their secondary structure includes four short double-helical elements and three loops (D, anti-codon, and T loops).
Source: RNAcentral
GCACCCGUAGCUCAGCUGGAUAGAGCGCUGCCCUCCGGAGGCAGAGGUCAGAGGUUCAAAUCCUCUCGGGUGCGCCA